CCAAUAUUGAAGACUUCCUCAAUUUUGAGAAAACUAUUCUGGAAGAUGCAGAUAAAUUUUCCUUGCUGAAGGCAGAUCUAAAAAGAUGGUCAACAUCCAAUUCAAGAAAAUUUUGUUACGAAGCGUAGCAGAAGAUUAUGACUGACAACGUUGCUGAGAGCUUUUCCUGGCGAAGAACUGCAGAUAAGAAGUGCAUCAGGGCCUUCACUGUCGCCACUGCUAUUCAUCAAACUUUCGCUGAAAAUGGAGGCAAGGAAGAGGACUUUGUGUUUGCCUCUAAGUCAUAUUUUCAGUACGCAAAAAAUCCUAUUAAAAUU
This is a long non-coding RNA of Bactrocera latifrons, 317 nucleotides long. RefSeq lists it as uncharacterized. The record is from RefSeq and is a predicted model, not a curated record. The transcript has 3 exons. NCBI's taxonomy places the organism in Eukaryota, Metazoa, Arthropoda, Insecta, Diptera, Tephritidae.